Molecule: small nuclear RNA, 141 nt
Organism: Nycticebus coucang (slow loris)
Lineage: Eukaryota; Metazoa; Chordata; Mammalia; Primates; Lorisidae
Product: U4 spliceosomal RNA
Exons: 1
Source: RefSeq, a predicted model, not a curated record
AGCUUUGCGCAGUGGCAGUAUCAUAGCCAAUGAGGUUUAUCUGAGGCACGAUUAUUGCUAAUUGAAAACUUUUCCCAAUACCCUGCUGUGACUACUUGCAAUACAGUCUGCACUGGCAGUUUUUGCCAGUCUCUAAGGAGA